Molecule: unclassified non-coding RNA, 337 nt
Filed under: plant metagenome
Description: partial contains 5.8S ribosomal RNA, internal transcribed spacer 2, and large subunit ribosomal RNA
Rfam family: 5.8S ribosomal RNA (bases 1-105)
Source: RNAcentral
GAAAUGCGAUAAGUAAUGUGAAUUGCAGAAUUCAGUGAAUCAUCGAAUCUUUGAACGCACAUUGCGCCCGCCGGCAUUCUGGCGGGCAUGCCUGUUCGAGCGUCAUUUCAACCCUCGAGCCCGACUCUUUUGAGGACGGCUCGGCGUUGGGGGACGGCAGACUCCCCCCGGCAUCUCGCCGGGGACGCCGCCCCCGAAAUCUAGUGGCGGCCCUCCGAGGCGACCUCUGCGUAGUAACUUGUUCUCGCACCGGAAAGCUCAGAGCGGCCACGCCGUAAAACCCCAACUUUUUUCAGGUUGACCUCGAAUCAGGUAGGACUACCCGCUGAACUUAAGC